AGUCACUGACAUUAGAUACCCGCGUAGUCCAGGGUGUAAACGCUGCAGACUUGGUGUUGGAAGUCCUUUGGGGCAUUCAGUGCCGGAGAGAAGUUGUUAAGUCUGCUACUUGGGAGUACGUCCGCAAGGAUGAAACUUAAAGGAAUUGGCGGGGGAGCACCGCAACGGGAGGAGCGUGCGGUUUAAUUGGAUUCAACACCGUAAAACUCACCAGGGAAGACUGUUACAUGAAAGCCGAGAUGAAGACUCUGCUAGAUUUUCAG
RNAcentral lists this ribosomal RNA (263 nucleotides) under uncultured archaeon. RNAcentral describes it as "partial 16S ribosomal RNA". It matches the Rfam family "Archaeal small subunit ribosomal RNA", at positions 716 to 982 of the family's 1478-position model. The record is from RNAcentral.